AGUGAACGCUGGCGGUAGGCCUAACACAUGCGAGUCGAACGGCAGCACAGUAAGAGCUUGCUCUUACGGGUGGCGAGUGGCGGACGGGUGAGGAAUACAUCGGAAUCUACUUUUUCGUGGGGGAUAACGUAGGGAAACUUACGCUAAUACCGCAUACGACCUACGGGUGAAAGUAGGGGAUCUUCGGACCUUGCGCGAUUGAAUGAGCCGAUGUCGGAUUAGCUAGUUGGCGGGGUAAAGGCCCACCAAGGCGACGAUCCGUAGCUGGUCUGAGAGGAUGAUCAGCCACACUGGAACUGAGACACGGUCCAGACUCCUACGGGAGGCAGCAGUGGGGAAUAUUGGACAAUGGGCGCAAGCCUGAUCCAGCCAUACCGCGUGGGUGAAGAAGGCCUUCGGGUUGUAAAGCCCUUUUGUUGGGAAAGAAAAGCAGCAGGUUAAUACCCCGCUGUUCUGACGGUACCCAAAGAAUAAGCACCGGCUAACUUCGUG
Molecule: ribosomal RNA, 492 nt
Filed under: uncultured bacterium
Lineage: Bacteria
Description: partial 16S ribosomal RNA
Rfam family: Bacterial small subunit ribosomal RNA
Source: RNAcentral